UUGCUAUAGUGUAAGAAGCACGGCAUCUUUUCAUGAUGCAAGUGUAGGAACUACUAGCAGU
This 61-nucleotide transfer RNA is filed under the name Hirosella fruticosa. Its description in RNAcentral is "tRNA-Glu". The record is from RNAcentral. Lineage: Eukaryota; Metazoa; Bryozoa; Phylactolaemata; Plumatellida; Hirosellidae.